This 450-nucleotide ribosomal RNA is filed under the name uncultured bacterium. RNAcentral describes it as "bacterial SSU rRNA". It matches the Rfam family "Bacterial small subunit ribosomal RNA", at positions 355 to 825 of the family's 1533-position model. The record is from RNAcentral.
UGGGGAAUAUUGCGCAAUGGGGGAAACCCUGACGCAGCGACGCCGCGUGUGGGAUGAAGGUCUUCGGAUUGUAAACCACUGUCGCGAGGGACGAAGCUCUGACGGUACCUCGAAAGGAAGCACCGGCUAACUCUGUGCCAGCAGCCGCGGUAAUACAGAGGGUGCGAGCGUUGUCCGGAAUCACUGGGCGUAAAGGGCGCGUAGGCGGCCCGGUAAGUAGGGGGUGAAAUCUCAUGGCUCAACUGUGAGGCUGCCUUCUAGACUGCCAGGCUUGAGCACAGUAGAGGCGAGUGGAAUUCCCGGUGUAGCGGUGGAAUGCGUAGAGAUCGGGAAGAACAUCGGUGGCGAAGGCGGCUCGCUGGGCUGUUGCUGACGCUGAGGCGCGAAAGCGUGGGGAGCAAACGGGGAUUAGAUACCCUUGUAGUCCCUGAGCGGGCUGGCAAGGCGCAU